GGGACGGGUGAGUAAUGUCUGGGAAACUGCCUGAUGGAGGGGGAUAACUACUGGAAACGGUAGCUAAUACCGCAUAACGUCGCAAGACCAAAGAGGGGGACCUUCGGGCCUCUUGCCAUCAGAUGUGCCCAGAUGGGAUUAGCUAGUAGGUGGGGUAACGGCUCACCUAGGCGACGAUCCCUAGCUGGUCUGAGAGGAUGACCAGCCACACUGGAACUGAGACACGGUCCAG
This 232-nucleotide ribosomal RNA is filed under the name uncultured Enterobacterales bacterium. Its description in RNAcentral is "partial 16S ribosomal RNA". It matches the Rfam family "Bacterial small subunit ribosomal RNA", at positions 100 to 334 of the family's 1533-position model. The record is from RNAcentral. Lineage: Bacteria; Pseudomonadati; Pseudomonadota; Gammaproteobacteria; Enterobacterales.